Molecule: ribosomal RNA, 800 nt
Filed under: uncultured bacterium
Lineage: Bacteria
Description: bacterial SSU rRNA
Rfam family: Bacterial small subunit ribosomal RNA
Source: RNAcentral
AGAGUUUGAUCCUGGCUCAGAUUGAACGCUGGCGGUAUGCUUAACACAUGCAAGUCGAACGGUAACAGGCCUUCGGGCGCUGACGAGUGGCGGACGGGUGAGUAACGCGUAGGAAUCUGCCUCAUAGUGGGGGACAACGUGGGGAAACUCACGCUAAUACCGCAUACGCCCUACGGGGGAAAGCGGGGGAUCUUCGGACCUCGCGCUAUGAGAUGAGCCUGCGUUAGAUUAGCUAGUUGGUGGGGUAAAGGCCUACCAAGGCGACGAUCUAUAGCUGGUCUGAGAGGACGAUCAGCCACACUGGGACUGAGACACGGCCCAGACUCCUACGGGAGGCAGCAGUGGGGAAUAUUGGACAAUGGGCGAAAGCCUGAUCCAGCAAUACCGCGUGUGUGAAGAAGGCCUUAGGGUUGUAAAGCACUUUCAAUUGGGAGGAAAACCUGCCGGUCAAUACCCGGUAGCUUGACAUUACCUUUAGAAGAAGCACCGGCUAACUCCGUGCCAGCAGCCGCGGUAAUACGGAGGGUGCGAGCGUUAAUCGGAAUUACUGGGCGUAAAGCGUGCGUAGGCGGUUCGUUAAGUCAGAUGUGAAAGCCCUGGGCUCAACCUGGGAACUGCAUUUGAAACUGGCGGACUAGAGUUUAGUAGAGGGGAGUGGAAUUUCAGGUGUAGCGGUGAAAUGCGUAGAUAUCUGAAGGAACACCAGUGGCGAAGGCGACUCCCUGGACUAGAACUGACGCUGAGGUACGAAAGCGUGGGUAGCAAACAGGAUUAGAUACCCUGGUAGUCCACGCCGUAAA